Dendronephthya gigantea is the source of this 173-nucleotide long non-coding RNA. RefSeq lists it as uncharacterized. The record is from RefSeq and is a predicted model, not a curated record. The transcript has 3 exons. Lineage: Eukaryota; Metazoa; Cnidaria; Anthozoa; Malacalcyonacea; Nephtheidae.
CCGAUGCCGGAUUCCAUAAUAAAGCAUUUCGUUAUUGCGAGAAAUUGGUAGAUGAUGUCUUGAAGCAUUCAACAUCCUUUACUAAAGAUAUGAUAACGCGACUUCAUGCGUUAUCCAUGAGACUUUACAGACGAGAAUUUAUUGCGCCGUUAUUAGAUAUGAACGGACGCCUG